Ornithorhynchus anatinus (platypus) is the source of this 138-nucleotide small nucleolar RNA. Lineage: Eukaryota; Metazoa; Chordata; Mammalia; Monotremata; Ornithorhynchidae. The record is from RefSeq and is a predicted model, not a curated record.
UUCCUCUCGGGGUUUCACCUGGAGAGUUUCCAGUACUCUACCGGUCUCGGCUAUGGGAGGGAGAGUCAAGCAGAGGCCUGUCCAUUCCAUUCCUAGCUUGGGCAGUGGCUAGCAAGUGUAAGGCAAUCUGCUACAAGU